Molecule: long non-coding RNA, 725 nt
Organism: Cyprinus carpio carpio
Lineage: Eukaryota; Metazoa; Chordata; Actinopteri; Cypriniformes; Cyprinidae
Source: Ensembl
GACUACCACACCUUACUUUACAAACGUCAACACUCCUUAUAUUUACUGGCCCAAUUUUUGUCUUGUCAGUCUGUAAACUUUGAACGAAAACGCAUCACAUAGAGCAUUGCAAGGACUAUUGUAAGGAAUAUUGUUCGUUAUUCAUGGUUUUAUGACUUUGAAGAGCGGGAGAAGCAGUUUUUUUCUUUCUAGUCAGGAUGGCACAAGGAAACUUUUAUUCACCCUGUUGUUUGUGUGGUGUGCUAUUAAUUCUGCGACUAGAGUUGGUGCUUCAAAAAUGGAGUCUUCAACUUCAGGAUAUACGGCUUCAGAAAGAACAACUGUACUUGCCACUUCAACCUCAGCAAAACCAGCUGCAACCUCAUCAGAUUCUUCAGGUGCAACAAUGGUUAUAACUACAGAAAGACUUGCUUCAACAACCAUGACUACAUCUUCAGAAAAGACAAAAGUAACUGAAACAACAAAUACUGCAUCCACAACCACAACUGAACAUUCCACUGCUACAGCUAAAAGAGUGGAAACCACAACUACAGCUUCAUUAACUACAUCUACAAGAAACGAUCCAAAAACAUCAAUAGCUGUAACAUCAGAAUCCACAACUCUUACUUCAACAACAAUACCUACAUCAUCAGAAACAACUGCACCUGUAACAACAUCAACAACUACAGCAUUGUCAACUAGUGAAAUUCCCACAACCGCAGUUGUGAGUACAGAGACCACACCUA